AGUCAGCCCGCGGCUUUUCUGUCUUCCUUUCUGGCCCAGCGAGAGCGCCCAGGGGGUGGGCGUCUUGCCCCGGGCGUCGAGAGUUUGGGGCCGUCCCGUACGCGGCGCGCCGCAACCCAGUCCCCGCGACCACAGCAGCCUGCUCCCCACCGCGCUUGCAGAGCCCGGACGCGCGUGAGUCGGGGGCCCGCAGAGGCCUCACCCUUGGAGGUCGCCGCUUGUCAGGCCUGACUGCUGUUGGCGCCCACCCCGCCGCCCCCGAGGGGCCGCUCGAGGCCGGACUGCUGCUUUGCCGUGGCAGGCCCCACCCGGGACGUGGCGCUGCGGGCCGGGGCGGUCCAGCUGCAAUCCCUACUCCCUGCCAAAGGAGAACCCAGUUACUGAACAUCGGAUGAGACCAUGGAUAGUAAAUUGGGAGUGAAGGUCCAUACCUGGGUCUCAGAAGCACAGUACAGUUACACCAGCCUCCUGAGUAUGACAGCAACAUUCCUUCAGGGAUUAAAGAAAAUGCUUCAGAAGAUUGGAACACUGCUCAGCCUUCCCAACCUUCUUUUACCACUGAUGUUUCUACCUUAGUGAUCUUCCUCCUUAUUUUAAUGCUUCUUUCUCUUUACAAUUAAAAGUUCAUAAAAUCUUUCAACAUUAUUUUUCACUACAAAAGUCUGA
This 666-nucleotide long non-coding RNA is filed under the name Homo sapiens (human). Its description in RNAcentral is "non-protein coding lnc-AP3S1-4:10". Lineage: Eukaryota; Metazoa; Chordata; Mammalia; Primates; Hominidae. The record is from RNAcentral.